UCUCCUACGGGCGGCUGCAGUCGAGAAUCUUCCGCAAUGGGCGAAAGCCUGACGGAGCGACGCCGCGUGCGGGAUGAAGGCCCUUGGGUUGUAAACCGCUGUCAGGGGGGAUGAAGGCCGCAAGGCUUGACAGAGCCCCAGAGGAAGCACGGGCUAAGUUCGUGCCAGCAGCCGCGGUAAGACGAACUGUGCGAACGUUAUUCGGAAUCACUGGGCUUACAGGGUGCGUAGGCGGCCUGUUAAGUAGGGUGUGAAAUCCCCCGGCCCAACCGGGGAAUUGCGCUCUAAACUAGCAGGCUUGAGUGAGCGAGGGGUGCACGGAACUUCCAGUGGAGCGGUGAAAUGUGUUGAUAUUGGAAGGAACACCGGAGGCGAAAGCGGUGCACUGGGGCUUAACUGACGCUGAGGCACGAAAGCCAGGGUAGCGAACGGGAUUAGAUACCCUGGUAGUC
This 452-nucleotide ribosomal RNA is filed under the name uncultured Planctomyces sp. Its description in RNAcentral is "bacterial SSU rRNA". It matches the Rfam family "Bacterial small subunit ribosomal RNA", at positions 335 to 795 of the family's 1533-position model. The record is from RNAcentral. Lineage: Bacteria; Pseudomonadati; Planctomycetota; Planctomycetia; Planctomycetales; Planctomycetaceae.